GACAGAGGGGGCAAGCGUUGCUCGGAAUUACUGGGCGUAAAGGGCGCGUAGGCGGGAUGGCAAGUCGGUCGUGAAAUCCUUCGGCUCAACCGAAGACCGUCGAUCGAUACUGCUGUUCUUGAGGGUUGCAGAGGAGACUGGAAUUCCCGGUGUAGCGGUGAAAUGUGUAGAGAUCGGGAGGAACACCGGUGGCGAAGGCGGGUCUCUGGGCAAUUCCUGACGCUGAGGCGCGAAAGCGUGGGGAGCAAACGGG
RNAcentral lists this ribosomal RNA (253 nucleotides) under uncultured bacterium. RNAcentral's name for it is "partial 16S ribosomal RNA". It matches the Rfam family "Bacterial small subunit ribosomal RNA", at positions 524 to 776 of the family's 1533-position model. The record is from RNAcentral.